UACAGAGACCUCGAGCGUUAUCCGGAAUCAUUGGGCGUAAAGCGUACCGAUCGGUGGUUUUGAAAGUCAGAGGUGAAAUUACAAAGCUCAACUUUGUAACUGUCCUUUGAAACUUCAAAGCUAGAGGGGCAAAGAGGAAGCUGGAACAAACGGUGUAGUAGUGAAAUGCGUUGAUAUCGUUUGGAACACCAAUAGCGAAGGCAGGCUUCUGGGUGCCACCUGACACUGCUAGGACGAAAGCGUGGGUAGCAAACAGG
Molecule: unclassified non-coding RNA, 257 nt
Filed under: uncultured Parcubacteria group bacterium
Lineage: Bacteria
Description: contains 16S-23S intergenic spacer region
Rfam family: Bacterial small subunit ribosomal RNA
Source: RNAcentral